This 286-nucleotide long non-coding RNA is filed under the name Homo sapiens (human). Lineage: Eukaryota; Metazoa; Chordata; Mammalia; Primates; Hominidae. The record is from RNAcentral.
ACUGAACUGACCUUCAUAUCUCAGCGAUGAGUCCUGUAGACUGCAGGCUCCACGGCAGUUGCAGCUCCCAGGGCUUCAGAUUGGAGCUGCCUGUGACAUGCAGAGGUGGAAGCACAGCCUCAGCUGUGGUGGACGGCAGCCUCUUUCAGCCCCCAGUGUCUCUCAUGGAAACCCAAGGUGGGAGAAAGAAGCAGAAGGAGAUCCUGGAACCAAAAACACUUCAGCAAUGAAGACUGGAUUUUCUCUGAAAUGAACAACAAAAUAAAAUCUCUCCUGUAGAUCUCUA